AGGGGAGGGAAAAAGUAAAUAAAAUAAAGAGAAGUAUAAAAAGGAUGAUAUUUAAUAUAUUUAUAUAUGUUAUGUACUUCAUCCUUUUUAUACUUCUCUUUAUUUUAUUUACUUUUUCCCUCCCCUUAC
This is a non-coding RNA of Pelobates cultripes (western spadefoot toad), 129 nucleotides long. Lineage: Eukaryota; Metazoa; Chordata; Amphibia; Anura; Pelobatidae. The record is from the annotation of a GenBank genome assembly.